This 240-nucleotide ribosomal RNA is filed under the name uncultured bacterium. Its description in RNAcentral is "partial 16S ribosomal RNA". It matches the Rfam family "Bacterial small subunit ribosomal RNA", at positions 96 to 334 of the family's 1533-position model. The record is from RNAcentral.
UGGCGAACGGGUGAGUAACGCGUGAGUAACCUGCCCUGGAGUGGGGGACAACAGUUGGAAACGACUGCUAAUACCGCAUAAGCCCACGGCCCGGCAUCGGGCUGAGGGAAAAGGAUUUAUUCGCUUCAGGAUGGACUCGCGUCCAAUUAGCUAGUUGGUGAGGUAACGGCCCACCAAGGCGACGAUUGGUAGCCGGACUGAGAGGUUGAACGGCCACAUUGGGACUGAGACACGGCCCAG